Molecule: unclassified non-coding RNA, 263 nt
Filed under: Hevea brasiliensis (rubber tree)
Lineage: Eukaryota; Viridiplantae; Streptophyta; Magnoliopsida; Malpighiales; Euphorbiaceae
Source: RNAcentral
AUUGAUCAGUUUGUUCAAUGUAUUUCAGAUUGAAUUUUGCUCUGGUUUAGUAUAUUUUAGUUAACAGAAAUAGCCUCUCUGCGAAGCAGGGGUAAGGCUGCACACAUUUGAGUGUGAGAUAUUUCGUGCACUGGUUCACCCUUAGUGUAUCAAUCAAUUCUAUAAUUUGGUUGUUAGUGGUUUUGCAUUGUGAAAUGUGGUUUUUAUGUUUGCUAUGAUAACAUGAUCUUGUUUUAUGCAGUGGCAAAACGAUUGAACUUGAU